CUUCUCCUGACCCAGCAUCGCUCAUCACAAUGAAGAACCAAGACAAAAAGAACGGGGCUGCCAAACAAUCCAAUCCAAAAAGCAGCCCAGGACAACCGGAAGCGGCUCCUUUGAUUCUCUAGACCUGGAAAAGGUGUCCCUAGGCAGAGCCCUGGCAGGGCGCUCAGAGCUGGGGAUUUCCUGCCUGGAACAAGGGACCUGGAGAAUGUUUUUGCGUGGGAUGAUGUGCUGGUC
Molecule: long non-coding RNA, 234 nt
Filed under: Homo sapiens (human)
Lineage: Eukaryota; Metazoa; Chordata; Mammalia; Primates; Hominidae
Description: HSALNT0004400
Source: RNAcentral